This 301-nucleotide ribosomal RNA is filed under the name uncultured bacterium. RNAcentral's name for it is "partial 16S ribosomal RNA". It matches the Rfam family "Bacterial small subunit ribosomal RNA", at positions 509 to 808 of the family's 1533-position model. The record is from RNAcentral.
CAGCAGCCGCGGAACACAGAGGGUGCGAGCGUUAAUCGGAUUUACUGGGCGUAAAGCGUGCGUAGGCGGCUUUUUAAGUCGGAUGUGAAAUCCCUGAGCUUAACUUAGGAAUUGCAUUCGAUACUGGGAAGCUAGAGUAUGGGAGAGGAUGGUAGAAUUCCAGGUGUAGCGGUGAAAUGCGUAGAGAUCUGGAGGAAUACCGAUGGCGAAGGCAGCCAUCUGGCCUAAUACUGACGCUGAGGUACGAAAGCAUGGGGAGCAAACAGGAUUAGAGACCCCCGUAGUCCCUGUCUCUUAUACA